GACGGAGGGUGCUAGCGUUGUUCGGAAUUACUGGGCGUAAAGGGCGCGUAGGCGGCUACGGCAGUCGGAUGUGAAAGCCCGGGGCUCAACCCCGGAACGGCACCCGAUACUCUGUGGCUCGAGACCGGGAGAGGUGGGUGGAAUACCCAGUGUAGAGGUGAAAUUCGUAGAUAUUGGGUGGAACACCAGUGGCGAAAGCGGCUCACUGGCCCGGUUCUGACGCUGAGGCGCGAAAGCGUGGGGAGCAAAC
This 250-nucleotide ribosomal RNA is filed under the name uncultured bacterium. Its description in RNAcentral is "partial 16S ribosomal RNA". It matches the Rfam family "Bacterial small subunit ribosomal RNA", at positions 524 to 773 of the family's 1533-position model. The record is from RNAcentral.